UACAGAGGGUGCAAGCGUUAAUCGGAAUUACUGGGCGUAAAGCGCACGUAGGUGGCUUGGUAAGUUGGAUGUGAAAUCCCCGGGCUUAACUUGGGAAUUGCAUUCAAGACUGCCUUACUAGAGUGUGGAAGAGGGAAGCGGAAUUCCAGGUGUAGCGGUGAAAUGCGUAGAUAUCUGGAGGAACAUCAGUGGCGAAGGCGGCUUCCUGGUCCAACACUGACACUGAGGUGCGAAAGCGUGGGGAGCAAACAGG
RNAcentral lists this ribosomal RNA (253 nucleotides) under uncultured bacterium. RNAcentral's name for it is "partial 16S ribosomal RNA". It matches the Rfam family "Bacterial small subunit ribosomal RNA", at positions 524 to 776 of the family's 1533-position model. The record is from RNAcentral.